This 254-nucleotide ribosomal RNA is filed under the name uncultured bacterium. RNAcentral describes it as "partial 16S ribosomal RNA". It matches the Rfam family "Bacterial small subunit ribosomal RNA", at positions 524 to 776 of the family's 1533-position model. The record is from RNAcentral.
UACAGAGGUCCCAAGCGUUGUUCGGAUUUACUGGGCGUAAAGGGCGCGUAGGCGGCCACCGCAAGUCGGUUGUGAAAUCUCUGGGCUUAACCCAGAAAGGUCAACCGAUACUGCGGGGCUAGAGUGCAGAAGGGGCAACUGGAAUUCUCGGUGUAGCGGUGAAAUGCGUAGAUAUCGAGAGGAACACCUGCGGCGAAGGCGGGUUGCUGGGCUGACACUGACGCUGAAGCGCGAAAGCUAGGGGAGCGAACGGG